UCCUGGCUCAGGAUGAACGCUAGCGGCAGGCUUAACACAUGCAAGUCGAGGGGCAGCACGGGUAGCAAUAUCUGGUGGCGACCGGCGCAAGGGUGCGUAACGCGUGAGCAACAUGCCCGUAUCAGGGGGAUAAUCCAGGGAAACUUGGUCUAAUACCCCCAUAGCAAUUACUGGAGGCAUCUUUAGUAAUUUAAAGCUUUGGUGGAUACGGAUUGGCUCGCGUGACAUUAGCUAGAUGGUAAGGUAACGGCUUACCAUGGCUACGAUGUCUAGGGGUUCUGAGAGGAAGAUCCCCCACACUGGAACUGAGACACGGUCCAGACUCCUACGGGAGGCAGCUGUGAGGAAUAUUGGACAAUGGAUGGAAAUCUGAUCCAGCCAUGCCGCGUGCAGGAAGACGGCCCUAUGGGUUGUAAACUGCUUUUGUAUGGGAGCAAUAAGGUCUAUGCGUAGACUGAUGAGAGUACCAUACGAAUAAGCAUCGGCUAACUCCGUGCCAGCAGCCGCGGUAAUACGGGGGAUGCAAGCGUUAUCCGGAUUUAUUGGGUUUAAAGGGUACGUAGGCGG
Molecule: ribosomal RNA, 567 nt
Filed under: uncultured bacterium
Lineage: Bacteria
Description: bacterial SSU rRNA
Rfam family: Bacterial small subunit ribosomal RNA
Source: RNAcentral